RNAcentral lists this long non-coding RNA (423 nucleotides) under Daphnia pulex (common water flea). Its description in RNAcentral is "uncharacterized LOC124202458, transcript variant X2". Lineage: Eukaryota; Metazoa; Arthropoda; Branchiopoda; Diplostraca; Daphniidae. The record is from RNAcentral.
GCACACAUAUCACAACAGACGAAAUCCCCAAGGUCAACAAUUAGGAGAAGGCAGCUUGACAUUCGUUUAUGUGCCUAGUCUGUCUAUGGCAUGGUGGUGAUUCCAGAUUGUUGACGAAAUAUCAUUACUGCUACCUUUACGUCUCGAUGGCCAUUGAUGUUGAGAUGCUGCCUAAUGAGGAGUUGGUGAAAGGUAUGCUUGAAGCAGUUGCUGCUGCUGUCCUUGGUGUCAAAAUUCCAUAGACUCAAACAGUUACACACACAAGAAGUAUUCCAUGACAACACCAGCACCACAGACAGCAUGGAACAGCUGGACUUCACCACAGCAUUCAGCAUUUCAGCCAGUCUGCAACAAACCAUAAUCACUAUAGAAAGCACUGCAGAAUUUCAAGAUUGCCGCUGGAUAAUUAACCUAUUUGAAAAA